AAUACUGAUGAACAGACCAAUCUGUUCCACAAACAGAGACGGAAGACUUGAAACCAAAUGCCUACUUGAGUGAAUACUUCAGAGAUCUUCAUUUAGAGAAUAAUCAGCAAAAACAGGAACUCAGCAAUAUUGAAAAAUAAAAUGUCGUCUUCUAUGUAAUCUCGCUAUGCCUGAGAUUAAAAAACAAACCAAAAAUCUUCAUCUACUGGUGUUUCAAUAGCUUGUUUCCUUAUGGAAUAUAACUCAAGCGACAGUAACCAGAGAGGUGACCCACUAGGAAUAGACUACUUAUUGUAGUAAAUAUUGGAAACACUGAGUCAGUUCAAGACCUACUUUUACUGCUCAAAUGAAUGAAAUUAUUCUGCAAAGAGAUUCAUGGACAUGCUAAGUGUUCUUCCUUCUCAUAAAAACCUUUCUUGUUGCAACUGUAGAGUUGGCUGGGUUGGAGAAUACUGAUGUGAUUAUACUGAAGUAUAUUCUCAUCUAAUUUAGAAUAUUACAGAAAAAUACAAAAAAUGACUAGAGUAGAUCAAAGGACAGUAAUGUGAAGUCAUUAGGUGUUCAAAAGAAAAAUCUUUUAAGGAUGGGUCCAAGCCCUAAUGAAUGGUUCCUUUGGAUCUGCUGAAGCAUCACUAAAGUGAUUGCUUUUUGUAACAAAA
Long non-coding RNA from Lutra lutra (Eurasian river otter), 659 nucleotides. RefSeq lists it as uncharacterized. The transcript is spliced from 3 exons. The record is from RefSeq and is a predicted model, not a curated record. NCBI's taxonomy places the organism in Eukaryota, Metazoa, Chordata, Mammalia, Carnivora, Mustelidae.